GCGACCAGGGUGGGGAACUAGAGCCAGAGCCUGGCACGAACAGAGGGCUGGAGGUGUGAGCACUCAAAGGCGGCGGGACGGGGCUCCCAGCGACUGCCCCAGAGAUCGGCUUCUGUUUGGCGGACAGCGGGUCCUAGCCUGCACGAGACGGUUCCAGACGCUUGCCACAACCAAGGAAAUGUGCUGCUUGUGUUCUACUUUCAGAGACAGCAAGAGAAAUAAUUAACUAUUUGCCCACACCCCAGAGAAAGACAUCCUUCCUACUGGUAAUAACCUCUAUUUCCUCCAAAUAAGAUGGGUGGGAACAGAAGAACUUCCACCCAUAAGUUGUUUCACAAGUGAAAGCACUAGCAUUUGACCAAACCUGCUUUUCACCUCAACUGCUGCAAGACCUCUUCAGACCAUGGACAACAGUACACCGAGGAAUUGACUGCCUCGAGUUGCCUACACCAAUGGAGAAUGAAGGCAUCCAGCUGAAGAAUCUGGAAACUACUAAACAAAUGAGACAUGUGAAAAAAAGGACAAAUCAUUCAGAAAUUAUUUCCCAAGAAAAAGAAUAAAUUGGACUAUAAAUAUAUCACAUUUCCAAUAAGAUAAAAUUUUAUAACUCUUCUCAAAUUCUUGUUUCUGCUGACAUAAAAUGUUUCUACAGACAUAUAAUGCAAACUGUCCCAAUCCAACUAAUAUUAAAG
This is a long non-coding RNA of Chionomys nivalis (European snow vole), 692 nucleotides long. RefSeq lists it as uncharacterized. The record is from RefSeq and is a predicted model, not a curated record. The transcript has 4 exons. Lineage: Eukaryota; Metazoa; Chordata; Mammalia; Rodentia; Cricetidae.